RNAcentral lists this ribosomal RNA (440 nucleotides) under uncultured bacterium. RNAcentral describes it as "partial 16S ribosomal RNA". It matches the Rfam family "Bacterial small subunit ribosomal RNA", at positions 338 to 795 of the family's 1533-position model. The record is from RNAcentral.
CCUACGGGAGGCAGCAGUGGGGAAUAUUGCACAAUGGGGGAAACCCUGAUGCAGCGACGCCGCGUGAGUGAAGAAGUAUCUCGGUACGUAAAGCUCUAUCAGCAGGGAAGAAAAUGACGGUACCUGACUAAGAAGCACCGGCUAACUACGUGCCAGCAGCCGCGGUAAUACGUAGGGGGCAAGCGUUAUCCGGAUUGACUGGGUGGAAGGGGGGCGCAGACGGCAAUGCAAGCCAGGAGUGAAAGCCCGGGGCCCAACCCCGGGACUGCUCGUGACACUGCAUGGCUGGAGUACAGGAGGGGCAGGCGGAAUGCCUAGUGUAGCGGUGAAAUGCGUAGAUAUUAGGAGGAACACCGGUGGCGAAGGCGGCCUGCUGGACUGUGACUGACGUUGAGGCCCGAAGGCGUGGGGAGCAAACAGGAUUAGAUACCCGGGUAGUC